AACGAACGCUGGCGGCAUGCCUAACACAUGCAAGUCGAACGAGACCUUCGGGUCUAGCGGCGCACGGGUGCGUAACGCGUGGGAACCUGCCCUUAGGUUCGGAAUAACUCCCCGAAAGGGGUGCUAAUACCGGAUAAUGUUAUCGGACCAAAGAUUUAUCGCUUGUGGAUGGGUCCGCGUAGGAUUAGCUAGUUGGUAGGGUAAAAGCCUACCAAGGCGACGAUCCAUAGCUGGUCUGAGAGGAUGAUCAGCCACACUGGGACUGAGACACGGCCCAGACUCCUACGGGAGGCAGCAGUGGGGAAUAUUGGACAAUGGGCGAAAGCCUGAUCCAGCAAUGCCGCGUGAGUGAUGAAGGCCUUAGGGUUGUAAAGCUCUUUUACCCGAGAUGAUAAUGACGGUACCGGGAGAAUAAGCGCCGGCUAACUCCGUG
Molecule: ribosomal RNA, 433 nt
Filed under: uncultured bacterium
Lineage: Bacteria
Description: partial 16S ribosomal RNA
Rfam family: Bacterial small subunit ribosomal RNA
Source: RNAcentral